This 253-nucleotide ribosomal RNA is filed under the name uncultured bacterium. RNAcentral describes it as "partial 16S ribosomal RNA". It matches the Rfam family "Bacterial small subunit ribosomal RNA", at positions 524 to 776 of the family's 1533-position model. The record is from RNAcentral.
UACGUAGGGUGCGAGCGUUGUCCGGAAUUAUUGGGCGUAAAGAGCUCGUAGGCGGUUUGUCGCGUCUGCCGUGAAAACCGGGGGCUUAACCCUCGGCCUGCGGUGGAUACGGGCAGACUUGAGUUCGGUAGGGGAGACUGGAAUUCCUGGUGUAGCGGUGAAAUGCGCAGAUAUCAGGAGGAACACCGGUGGCGAAGGCGGGUCUCUGGGCCGAUACUGACGCUGAGGAACGAAAGCGUGGGGAGCGAACAGG